UUUGAUCCUGGCUCAGGAUGAACGCUGGCGGCGUGCUUAACACAUGCAAGUCGAACGAUGAUCCGGUGCUUGCGCCGGGGAUUAGUGGCGAACGGGUGAGUAACACGUGAGUAACCUGCCCUUGACUCUGGGAUAAGCCUGGGAAACUGGGUCUAAUACCGGAUAUGACUCCUCAUCGCAUGGUGGGGGGUGGAAAGCUUUUUGUGGUUUUGGAUGGACUCGCGGCCUAUCAGCUUGUUGGUGGGGUAAUGGCCUACCAAGGCGACGACGGGUAGCCGGCCUGAGAGGGUGACCGGCCACACUGGGACUGAGACACGGCCCAGACUCCUACGGGAGGCAGCAGUGGGGAAUAUUGCACAAUGGGCGAAAGCCUGAUGCAGCGACGCCGCGUGAGGGAUGACGGCCUUCGGGUUGUAAACCUCUUUCAGUAGGGAAGAAGCCCUCUUUGGGGGUGACGGUACUUGCAGAAGAAGCGCCGGCUAACUACGUGCCAGCAGCCGCGGUAAUACGUAGGGCGCAAGCGUUAUCCGGAAUUAUUGGGCGUAAAGAGCUCGUAGGCGGUUUGUCGCGUCUGCUGUGAAAGACCGGGGCUCAACUCCGGUUCUGCAGUGGGUACGGGCAGACUAGAGUGCAGUAGGGGAGACUGGAAUUCCUGGUGUAGCGGUGAAAUGCGCAGAUAUCAGGAGGAACACCGAUGGCGAAGGCAGGUNNNNNGGCUGUAAC
Molecule: ribosomal RNA, 723 nt
Filed under: Paenarthrobacter ureafaciens
Lineage: Bacteria; Bacillati; Actinomycetota; Actinomycetes; Micrococcales; Micrococcaceae
Description: bacterial SSU rRNA
Rfam family: Bacterial small subunit ribosomal RNA
Source: RNAcentral